GGAUGUUAGGGCGAUCUGGUUGUGACAUCUGUCACCCCAUUGAUCACCAGGUUGAUUCGGCUUAUCUGGCUGGCUAGGCGGGUGUCCCCUUCCUCCCUCACCGCUCCAUGUGCGUCCCUCCCAAAGCUGCGAGGUCAGUCGAAGAGGGUGACCAUCCCCAAUAGAGGAGGACCGGUCUUCGGUCAAAUGUAUGCGAGUAGCUGCGCUCCCCUGCUAAAACCUCUAAAAUAAUGUUUCUUUAGAUGAAAUUUGAGAAUUCUAUUUAUAAAUACUACAUUGCUAUUCUUAAGUACUAUGUUUUCA
The sequence is an unclassified non-coding RNA, 303 nucleotides long. Its record names the gene 7SK. It matches the Rfam family "7SK RNA". Rfam says of the family: 7SK was discovered as an abundant small nuclear RNA in the mid-70s but a possible function has only recently been suggested. The record is from Ensembl.